Molecule: transfer RNA, 25 nt
Filed under: Scombrops gilberti
Lineage: Eukaryota; Metazoa; Chordata; Actinopteri; Scombriformes; Scombropidae
Also listed under: 1 other name
Description: partial tRNA-Leu
Source: RNAcentral
GUUAAGGUGGCAGAGCCCGGUAACU